RNAcentral lists this ribosomal RNA (618 nucleotides) under uncultured bacterium. RNAcentral's name for it is "bacterial SSU rRNA". It matches the Rfam family "Bacterial small subunit ribosomal RNA", at positions 195 to 794 of the family's 1533-position model. The record is from RNAcentral.
UACGGAUGAAAGCGGGGGAUCGCACGACCUCGCGCGAUUGGAGCGGCCGAUGGCAUAUUAGGUACUUGGUGAGGUAAAGGCUCACCAAGCCGUCUAUCUGUAUCUGGUCUGAGAGGACCACCAGCCACACUGGGACUGACACGCGGCCCAGACUCCUACGGGAGGCAGCAAUGGGGAAUUUUGGACAAUGGGCGCAAGCCUGAUCCGGCCAUUCCUCGUGCAGGAUGAAGGCCCUCGGGUUGUAAACUGCUUUUGUACGGAACGAAGAAGCCCUUUCUAAUACAGAGGGUCCAUGACGGUACCGUACCAAUAAGCACCGGCUAACUACGUACCAGCACCCGCGGUAAUACGUACGGUGCAAGCGUUAAUCGGAAUUACUGGGCGUAAAGCGUGCGCAGGCGGUGAUGUAAUACAGUUGUGAAAUCCCCGGGCUCGACCUGAGAACUGCAUCUGUGACUGCAUCGCUGGACUGCGGCAGAGGGGGAUGGAAUUCCGCGUGUAUCAAUGAAAUGCGUAGAUAUGCGGAUGAACACCGAUGGCGAAAGCUAUCCCCUGGGCCUGCACUGACGCUCAUGCACGAGAGCGUGCGGAGCACACAGGAUUAGAUACCCUGGUAGA